This 448-nucleotide ribosomal RNA is filed under the name Pseudomonas aeruginosa. RNAcentral's name for it is "bacterial SSU rRNA". It matches the Rfam family "Bacterial small subunit ribosomal RNA", at positions 56 to 500 of the family's 1533-position model. The record is from RNAcentral. Lineage: Bacteria; Pseudomonadati; Pseudomonadota; Gammaproteobacteria; Pseudomonadales; Pseudomonadaceae.
UGCAGUCGAGCGGAUGAAGGGAGCUUGCUCCUGGAUUCAGCGGCGGACGGGUGAGUAAUGCCUAGGAAUCUGCCUGGUAGUGGGGGAUAACGUCCGGAAACGGGCGCUAAUACCGCAUACGUCCUGAGGGAGAAAGUGGGGGAUCUUCGGACCUCACGCUAUCAGAUGAGCCUAGGUCGGAUUAGCUAGUUGGUGGGGUAAAGGCCUACCAAGGCGACGAUCCGUAACUGGUCUGAGAGGAUGAUCAGUCACACUGGAACUGAGACACGGUCCAGACUCCUACGGGAGGCAGCAGUGGGGAAUAUUGGACAAUGGGCGAAAGCCUGAUCCAGCCAUGCCGCGUGUGUGAAGAAGGUCUUCGGAUUGUAAAGCACUUUAAGUUGGGAGGAAGGGCAGUAAGUUAAUACCUUGCUGUUUUGACGUUACCAACAGAAUAAGCACCGGCUAA